Molecule: long non-coding RNA, 225 nt
Organism: Salvia splendens (bonfire salvia)
Lineage: Eukaryota; Viridiplantae; Streptophyta; Magnoliopsida; Lamiales; Lamiaceae
Exons: 3
Source: RefSeq, a predicted model, not a curated record
CCUCCAGAUCCCAUUCUUGGAGUUUCUGAAGCGUUCAGAGCAGAUACUCAUGAAAUGAAGCUUAACCUGCUGCCUAUCGGAUUGAAGAUCUACAGCCGCAGAAAAUCUUAUUCUGGAAAGGGGAGACAACAAAGAGGUUGCCACUGUCCAGGGUCUUUCAGGAACUGGCUCUUUGCUGCUUGCUGUAGUGAUCAUAGGAUCUGAGGGCUGUAGAUUAGAAAACGG